AGGAGCUUGCUCCUUUGACGUUAGCGGCGGACGGGUGAGUAACACGUGGGUAACCUACCUAUAAGACUGGGACAACUUCGGGAAACCGGAGCUAAUACCGGAUAAUAUGUUGAACCGCAUGGUUCAAUAGUGAAAGAUGGUUUUGCUAUCACUUAUAGAUGGACCCGCGCCGUAUUAGCUAGUUGGUGAGGUAACGGCUCACCAAGGCAACGAUACGUAGCCGACCUGAGGGGGUGAUCGGCCACACUGGAACUGAGACACGGUCCAGACUCCUACGGGAGGCAGCAGUAGGGAAUCUUCCGCAAUGGGCGAAAGCCUGACGGAGCAACGCCGCGUGAGUGAUGAAGGUCUUAGGAUCGUAAAACUCUGUUAUUAGGGAAGAACAAACGUGUAAGUAACUGUGCACGUCUUGACGGUACCUAAUCAGAAAGCCACGGCUAACUACGUGCCAGCAGCCGCGGUAAUACGUAGGUGGCAAGCGUUAUCCGGAAUUAUUGGGCGUAAAGCGCGCGUAGGCGGUUUUUUAAGUCUGAUGUGAAAGCCCACGGCUCAACCGUGGAGGGUCAUUGGAAACUGGAAAACUUGAGUGCAGAAGAGGAAAGUGGAAUUCCAUGUGUAGCGGUGAAAUGCGCAGAGAUAUGGAGGAACACCAGUGGCGAAGGCGACUUUCUGGUCUGUAACUGACGCUGAUGUGCGAAAGCGUGGGGAUCAAACAGGAUUAGAUACCCUGGUAGUCCACGCCGUAAACGAUGAGUGCUAAGUGUUAGGGGGUUUCCGCCCCUUAGUGCUGCAGCUAACGCAUUAAGCACUCCGCCUGGGAGUACGACCCAAGUUGUAU
RNAcentral lists this ribosomal RNA (838 nucleotides) under uncultured Staphylococcus sp. RNAcentral's name for it is "bacterial SSU rRNA". It matches the Rfam family "Bacterial small subunit ribosomal RNA", at positions 74 to 899 of the family's 1533-position model. Lineage: Bacteria; Bacillati; Bacillota; Bacilli; Caryophanales; Staphylococcaceae. The record is from RNAcentral.